AAAGAGAGAGAGAGAGAGAGAGAGAGAGAGAGAGAGAGAGAGAGAGAGAGAGAGAGAGAGAUACACUCACAUAUAUACACAGGUACAUUUACAUACAUGUACGUCGCAGACGUUCCGUUUGUCAUUUAUAUAAAUCGGAUAAAGCACUCGUGCUAUCAAUAAGUUUAAAAAUUCUUUAACCGAAUUGAAUGUGAUAAAAUAUUUUUACGUAUUAACGUGAAUUAUUGCGUUAUACGUAUAAAAAAAUGUACACGACGCAUGCUCUGAUCAUCAAAGAUCAAAGGCGGAAAGGUGGGGGGUGGUGGUGGUGGUGGUGAUAGUGGUGGUGGUGGUGGCGCGGAAGGGAAAAGGGGGAGGGAAAGGUGAACGGUGAGAACGAGAAAAAUAGUUGUUGCUUAUGAUGAUCUGUGUGAAUGUUUGUCGAGGAUCAAAAAGAAAAAAGAAAAAAAAAAAAAAGAAUAAAAGCAAGAAAGAAAAACAAAAAAGAAAAAUAAAAGAUCCGUGAUAUGAGAGAUUGUUAGUAUACGUGUACGUGUGUGCGAGACUCUGUGUGUGAGAGCGUGCGCGUGUGCGUACACAUUUGAGAGAGAAAAAAAUGGAAUAAAAGGAUACGCGCGAACGAAGAGAAAAAUAAAAAUGGCGGAAAAAAUAAUGUAGAAAAAUGUGGCGAGAACACGGAGCAGUAUAUAUCUAUAUAUAUAUAUAUAUAUAUAUAUAUAUAUAUAUAUAUAUACACACAUACACAUACACAUACACACAUACACAUAUAGGUAUAAACAAUCGUACGUAAUGUGCGGUAUGAGAGAGAGGGGGUGAGAGAGAGAGAGAGAGAGAGAGAGAGAGAGAGGCGAAGAUGAAACAAAACAAAAGAAUAAGAGAAUACAAACAUACUAACAAAGCAAAAGAGUAAAAAGUUAUAUAAAUAUAAUUUGCAAUACGUGUACAAAUAAUUGAAGAAAAGGAAAAAAGAAGAAAACAUAAAAAGAAUCCAAGUACCAAGGACCAAUUCGCAUUACUCGAGGGGGAGAAUAUUGCCUCUGUGUUCUCUCACGUUGCUCAUGCACGCGCGCACUCGCACGCACAUACACACACACACACACACACACACACAUACACACAUACACACAGACACAAAGGACACAGAUACAAAUAGUGACACGCGCACAAAUAAACAAUACACUUCUAAUCCUUCUUGGCCGACACAUUAAUACCAAUGUUGCUAAUUGUCAAUGAUACUGAGAUACAAGGCGUAUAACAUGCAUACAUCACGUAGGACCAUUUAAAACAUGUUCACUUACUCCUCCUCCCUCCCCCUCUUCUUCCUUUUGUCGAGCACCAUGUGCAAACACUAUUCCACUUUUUACACUACUACUGCCCGGUUCUUCGCUUAUUAGGACAAAACUUUCUAUUGUCAUCCUUCUCUUUCUACAUAUAAUUAAGCGUACUUCGUGCCGCUACUGGUCUUCCAAAAUUAGAGAACGUUCCUUCUUUUAAGAGAAAAAAAAAAGAAAGAAAGAAAGAAUGAAAGGAAGAAAGAAAGAUAAAAAGGAAGAAAGAAGGAAUGAAAAAAGUAAUAAAAAAAAAAAUGCGAAAAAAAAGAAAAGAAAAGAAAAAAGAACAAAAAGAAAUAAAACACGGAGAUAGGAAUAAAACGAUCGUCGUGAUAUUAUUGUGCUGGCACGUUAUUUCGGUUGAGUCGGGUAAAGGGGUUGAAAGUUCGUAAGGAUAUUUGAAAAUAAAAAUUCCACGUAUCCGUCGUAUGUGGGUCGACUUAGCCAUCUUUUUCUUCCGACUAAUAAUCUAAUUAAAGAUGAGAGAGAGAGAGAGAGAGAGAGAGAGAGAGAGAGAGAGAGAAGUGAACAAGCACGUUGAGCGGCUGAGGUCCUCUUUUUUUUUUUUUCCUUUUUAAUUACUUCCGAAGCUUUUUUUAACUUUCGUUCGUUCCUAAUCGACAAACUUCCAAAAGAUUUUCAAACGACGAUGAAUUAUCAUUCUGAUCGAUCUUUAGCGCGAUGUUCGAUGUUUCUUCACCGAAUAGAAAACCUUUUAUUGUCCCUGUAAAUUGUUAAACUACGCGCAACGUUCGUCAAACGUAGAAGAAGUAGAAAAGAAAAAAAAAAAAAAAAAAUAAUAAUAAUAAAAUAAACGAAGUUCGAGAAAAACGUUGCGUAGAUGGGACCUACAAUCUUCUAUGUUAACGAAUGAUCGCGAAUAUAAUUGAGCGGGUUAUUAUGAAAAUGUGGUUUAAUAUA
Vespa mandarinia (Asian giant hornet) is the source of this 2252-nucleotide long non-coding RNA. NCBI's taxonomy places the organism in Eukaryota, Metazoa, Arthropoda, Insecta, Hymenoptera, Vespidae. The record is from RefSeq and is a predicted model, not a curated record.